GGGAAAGUACCCAGGGCAAGCUUUAAGUACAAAAUAGGGUGGUUUGCUUUAAGAGUCCUAAAGCAACCUGAGGAACAAUGCAAGAUACCCUGCAGGGUUAUCAGCCUCCUACAAGGGAGUCCCAGGCCCAUGACUCUUUCCAGAAAGAUUCUCCAUUCCUCAUUUUCCUCUAUGGCUACUAGUCAAUUUCUGAGGUUUGACUGAAUUAUCAAAUUCAAAUCUGCCCAGAUGUCAGUGUUAUCAUUUUCGUGUCUCCUGAUGGAAAUAUUCUUUGAUUGGUUACUAAGACCUCUAAACCAGCAGAGCCCAUAGUUGAGGAAAUGAGAAUGAAAAACUAUCUAAGUGGGUUAUUAGAUGUAAUAAUGAACGAUGUUAACACUCAUUUCUUUUCUUUUUUGAAACAGGGUCUUUCUCUGUCACCCAAGCUGGAGUGCAAUGGUGUAAUCAUAGCUCACUGCAGCCUCGACUCCUGGGCUCAACUCUCACUUCAGGCACGUACGUGUCUCACCCAAGGCAUCGAAAAUACCUGGUCUAUUGCGCUUUGCUUAGAGAUCAACAGAGUGACAUCCUAGGGUCUGAGCCUCAACCCUCCAGGCCGCAAGCCUCCCACUUCCACUCCACCAACCUUGACUUGUGGAACAUGCAUCCUCCUGGGGAUAAACCUCUACCAAGAUGUUCUUGUAAGAGUGGCUGCAAGUGCCUGCAUCAGAACCUCAGGAAAGCUGAUAAAGUUGAAGAGUCCUUGCUUUCCUCACUUGGGAGGGGGUGCUGCUGCUGGCAUUUAAGAUGAUUCUGAUUCAUGCUACAGUCUGACAACCUACAAAGCUGCAUGGAAGAAAACUCUCUUCCACAUGGCCUGGAGAGACCUAAGCAUCCACGUGCUCACUGCUCUCAGUGCUCAGAGAAGAGAACACCUGGGAAAUUGUCUUUGAAUUAUAUAGAACAAGUUGUCCACUAAAUGAAUAACAUCUGGAAGCAUUCCAACCUGGUAAAGCCCCUUGAGUGUUGCCUAUGAUGUGGGUGCAUCUGAUUCCAGGUCAUAUGUGCAAUGCUCUGCUGCAGACACUUUAGCUUUCAGAUUUUGUGGAAUAUUGUUACAGGAACACAGGUCUAUGCAAUGAGGUCUUGUAGCUGCUUCCUAAGCUUUGCACAUCAAUCCAUCAGCUCUAACAUUCUGGACAAUAUUAUUGCUGGCUACAAUAGUACUAUUUAUAAUAGUUCAAAUGAAUCAGAUUGAUUUUCUCCUUGAACACUAGAAUAUUUACUCUGAAUCAUCAAGGGCAAAAGGUCAAUUCCCCUCAAAAAGAUCAUGCAACCCUCUCUAUCAGAGGAUAAACAAUUCUUCAAGUAUUGAGGAAAGAAAAAUGACUUUGGGCCAGGCAUGGUGGCUCACACCUAUAAUCCCAGCACUUUGGGAGGCCGAGGAGGGAGACCUCACUUGAGGUCAGGAGUUCGAGACCAGCCUCGGUAAUAUGGUGAAACCCCAUCUCUACUAAAAACACAAAAAUUAGCUGGGCAUGGUGGCAGGAGCCUGUAAUCCCAGCUAUUUGGGAGGCUGAGGCAGUAGAAUCACUUGAACCCGGGAGGUGGAGGUUGCAGUGAGCCACGAUUGCACUAUUGCACUCCAGCCUGGGUGACAGAGCGAGACUCCAUCUCAAAAAAAAAAAAGAAAAGAAAAAAAAAAGAAAAGUGACUUUGUCCAUUGGGUAGCCAAGCUUUCAUUUUGCUCAGUGACGGAGUCUAGUACUUAAGAUCCAUAUCAUAGCAACACAAAACUUCUAUUGAGGAUGUAGCUUUUCAUAUGCAUCAUUCCCUUCACUUCUCACAUUGGUGUCCACUGAGGCGUAGAGACACGGUACAGGAUACAAAUGGUGAUGCUGGAAAGUGAACCUAAGUCUGUCUGUACAAUCUACACACCUCACCACUGUGUGAUCAGCUAUAGGCUUAAUACUAGUGAGACAGGGAUGCUUACCUGUAUUUGUUCAUUAAUUUGUUCAAUAAAAAGGACUUUGUGUAAGGUUCUACAUGUGGUGCUUGGGACACAAAGUCAAGUAAUUUAUGAACCCUCCCUGCCCUUGCCAUUUCCAAUCUAAUGACAAACACAAAGAACUAAAGGGGCAAUUAAAAUAAUUAGUGUAAGUGCUAGAGCAGAAGAAGGGUGAGGCUGGGGAGGCACAGACACAGGGUACAUAACCAUGUGAGUGUCAGUCAGAAAAGCCCUCCUGGGGGAGUUGGCUUCUGAGUCGAGUCCCAAGGGCCGAGCAGGGCUUAAUUAGAGGAAUUGGGGGACCCAGGUGAAAGCAACAUGCACCAAGGUCCAGCGCGGGAAAGGCCAGGCAUCAGGAACCUGGAGGAAGUUUACUUUGAGGAGGAUUUAUAUGAACAGGUUAGGAAAAGAGUUGAGAGACAAGCAGGAGGGGUUGGCUGGGGCCUAACCUAAAAUGGCCUCUCUGCUGUGAGAAAAGCUUGGGCUUUAUCCUGAUGGCAACAUCAAGCCAUUACAGUGUUUUAAGAGGAGGAGUAACAGGCUCAGCUUUUCUUCACAGGGGGAAGCUGCUGAUAGACAUGGGAGGGAUGAACUUGCCUGCAGCUCUGUUCUUAGAUGACAGAGGCCCAAGUUCAACUGGCACGGAGGCUGCAAACCUCCUGCUCAACAGCAUAUAUGACCAGAAAAAGAAAACAUCUGAAGAGAAUUAUGAACAUGCUAUAUGCGUCUCUAAAGUAUAAAUGACUAAAACUGACUUUACAAAC
RNAcentral lists this long non-coding RNA (2751 nucleotides) under Homo sapiens (human). RNAcentral's name for it is "HSALNT0154073". The record is from RNAcentral. Lineage: Eukaryota; Metazoa; Chordata; Mammalia; Primates; Hominidae.